AUUGAACGCUGGCGGCAGGCCUAACACAUGCAAGUCGAGCGGAUGAAGGGAGCUUGCUCCUGGAUUCAGCGGCGGACGGGUGAGUAAUGCCUAGGAAUCUGCCUGGUAGUGGGGGAUAACGUCCGGAAACGGGCGCUAAUACCGCAUACGUCCUGAGGGAGAAAGUGGGGGAUCUUCGGACCUCACGCUAUCAGAUGAGCCUAGGUCGGAUUAGCUAGUUGGUGGGGUAAAGGCCUACCAAGGCGACGAUCCGUAACUGGUCUGAGAGGAUGAUCAGUCAACCUUGAACCGAGACACGGUCCCGACUCCUACGGGAAGCAGCCAUUGGGAAAAUUGGACCAUUGGCGGAAGCCCGAACCAAGCCUGGCGCGGUUGUUAAAGAAGUCUUUGGAUUGUUAAGCACUUUAAGUUGGGAGGAAGGGCAGUAAGUUAAUACCUUGCUGUUUUGACGUUACCAACAGAAUAAGCACCGGCUAACUUCGUG
Molecule: ribosomal RNA, 484 nt
Filed under: uncultured bacterium
Lineage: Bacteria
Description: partial 16S ribosomal RNA
Rfam family: Bacterial small subunit ribosomal RNA
Source: RNAcentral